GACGAGCGCUGGCGGCGUGCUUAACACAUGCAAGUCGAACGGAAAGGCCCUGCUUGCAGGGUACUCGAGUGGCGAACGGGUGAGUAACACGUGGGUGAUCUGCCCUGCACUUCGGGAUAAGCUUGGGAAACUGGGUCUAAUACCGGAUAGGACCGCACUUUAGUGUGUGUGGUGGAAAGUUUUUUCGGUGUAGGAUGAGCUCGCGGCCUAUCAGCUUGUUGGUGGGGUAAUGGCCUACCAAGGCGGCGACGGGUAGCCGGCCUGAGAGGGUGUACGGCCACAUUGGGACUGAGAUACGGCCCAGACUCCUACGGGAGGCAGCAGUGGGGAAUAUUGCACAAUGGGCGCAAGCCUGAUGCAGCGACGCCGCGUGGGGGAUGAAGGCCUUCGGGUUGUAAACUCCUUUCGCUAGGGACGAAGCUUUUUGUGACGGUACCUAGAUAAGAAGCACCGGCUAACUACGUG
RNAcentral lists this ribosomal RNA (465 nucleotides) under uncultured bacterium. RNAcentral's name for it is "partial 16S ribosomal RNA". It matches the Rfam family "Bacterial small subunit ribosomal RNA", at positions 28 to 507 of the family's 1533-position model. The record is from RNAcentral.